GCUAGAAGAACACGCCUCCUUAUCAGAGUAUUGCCGGCGAGUUCAAACAGCCACGCGCGCCGAGUUCAAGACGGCGCUGGAGGAACAAACUCCCUUUCAUGAGUAUCGUUGGUGGGUAUAAAAUAGUGGCUCAUUAGAGAAUAUUUUAUCUUCGUUGGUUGGUAUAAAAUAUUGCCUCUUGAGAGCUAAUUCGCCCUGCCGAUCUGGUAAUUUUCAACUGAACUUUCAAUAUCGAUCUUCUACCAUACUAACAAUUGAUUCUAAGUGAGCUUGACGAUUUUAUAAUUACUUUUGUUAUUUUGAUGAAACUAUAAUUUUACUUUUGUUGAUGCCCAGUAUGCAUUUACCAACAAAACUUGGGAUCUAUCACAUGCCAAGGUUGUUUUUUAUUCUAAGUAUGAAAAUGAGUUUGGGUACUAGUGAAAAUUGAAUUUAUUUUAGCGAAGAUAUUAGUGGAUUAUGGUCUGAGUAGGAUUGAGAUAAUUUGUCUGUGUGUGUGGUAUUGAGUGAGAGUUAAUUAUUGCUUUCUCAACAUGUGGAUACUGGUCGCUUGAUCACGUAAGAGAUAUUGCUCGAUCACCACACAUUAAUUUCUUAGUCAGAUAAUUAUGCUAUCUGUUUUUGUGAAAGAUUGUUAGUUGAUUCUUGGAAUUGCAGUAAUUAUGGACUCUCAUAGGAAUGAGCGUGUAGUCAUUCUCUAUGUUGUCUGUUAUAAAGCUUAAGGAUUGAGGCUCCUAACCUGAUGUAUAAAAUAUAAUGAACAAAUGGAAAUCCUUCCAUUUGAGCUACCAAAUGAAAAGGUACGAAGUCAAAUUAUAUUUUUGUUUGGGUACGCUUUUGUGUAUGCAUAAGAAUCAUGAUGCUGAAACGUUUAUAUGGAUAACGUCUGAGGCGGGCCGUUGCUUCUCAUAUAUACUCAUACGCAUAAUAAAGAAAUUCUUUUUCCUUCUGUUCGGUUUGGCAGGGUUCACUGCAAAAGUCUGAUGAGUGUUGGGACAUGGUUGUUUUGUGUUGGUUUGUUCUCACCAAAUAAGCAAGCUAGAUGGAUUCGAUGCAUUUUCGAGCCAUGCAGAGUUUGGUUUGGCAGGCUUUUUGGAGGUGGGUUGGUAUUUUUGAUAUGGUAUAUUUUUGGGCAUGGUUUGAUGCCCCAUUUUACUAUUGUCUUUUCUGUCUUGCUGGGUAGAGUUUGUGUUGGGUGAUGGGUUUGGUUGCUGGGAAGUAUGUGCGGCUUGGUUUCUGCAAUAAUUGAGUUUUGUUGGGUUGUUUUGGGUCUCUUUUGUGACCCUUGGCCAUGAACAAUGAGUUGAUGUUCUGCAUUUACAUUUUACAGGCAUUGAGAUGCUCAGAAUUUUUAUAUAUGACCAUUUAUUUUUGUGUAUUUCACAGGAAUCAUAUCUGUCCUAAGCUUCUAACCUACUCGAUGAUUAUAAGAAAAGUAAUUUUUAAUUAAUGCAUAUAUGCCAACAUGAACAUUAUAUGUACAGUAUAUGCUUCACAUUUAUAAAUUGGUCUCUUUUUUCUAUGUUGUGAUGCUUGAAGGCACCGUCUUAGACUU
Molecule: long non-coding RNA, 1555 nt
Filed under: Linum usitatissimum (flax)
Lineage: Eukaryota; Viridiplantae; Streptophyta; Magnoliopsida; Malpighiales; Linaceae
Description: long non-coding RNA (LUSI_LNC003069)
Source: RNAcentral